UAUUGUUGUUACAUCAUCAAUUUUUACUGCUUAUAAAGUCAAGGGUUUUUAAGACCAAGUUGACACCCACUAGACUCAAGAAAAGUCGUUAAGGGUGACCCUUUUUCCUAAUGAAACAUGACAUUCGGUAUUUUUGAAAUUUGUGUUAAAAUUCCGAUCCUUGAUCACNGUUUAGUCUAGUGCUUUUCAAAAACAUCGUUAAUAAUCAUGUCGGGCAAGUGACAUUUACUAAGCCUUGGUAGGAUGGCUCCAGUAAGCCUCUGUUGACAUGCUAAAGCUUGCUUUUAUGACAAUGUCACUCCGUUAGCUGGACUACAGAUGAUUAAUUGUUUCGUUGAUAUUAAAUAAGACUGCUAGAAUAACGCGAAUCUUGCUGAGGCAUUUGUUGGGUAACUCUCUCCUGACGCCGUAGUGACUCCAAGNACGUUAAGACAUCUCAGGAGNGUCNNUAUUUCGACGAGAACUAACCUCAUUGCAGUCAAUCGUAUCCUUUAAUACUUUCAAUUUCUUUGAUUUUGUUUUUUUGUUGAGCACGUAGAANUUUAUAGCAGUCAGUUUAGAAUAUGCUUCGUAAAUAGUCGAUCUUUCUGGCGGGUAGGCACGGUGACCUGACUGAAGCUACACACUGUUCGAUUGCUUCUCUCUUUACAAGAAGUACAAAACUUACAGAAAUUUCAAAAAAUGCUGCAUUUUACGAAGAACAAUUCUAUGAAACUCCAAAAGCUUCCCUUUUUCUCGCAAAAUGCUUUCCAAUGCCUAAAAUGCUACUUUUUAGACGAGAUUGUUGAACAGUUAUGGCAAGUUUUGGAGCGCGCCCGCGCAACUUUCGUAAGGUAAAUUCACCUUUAGCUUUCGUGAAAUUCUUGUUCUGACGUGAAAACCAAGAUAAUUGAAAAAGGGAGGCAGAUCUGACGAUGAUUCCAGGGCAUUCAGAUGAGUUGUGAGAGCCAAAGGGCAAAUUUGGGUUAACANUGUUGAACUUUCUUGUACUGCCAAAAAUUCCAAAAUAGCGUCAAGAAAAAGAUGUCACGGUAUACAACAGUCAUGACCGCUAAUUUCAAGUCUUGUCAGCUGUAAUUCGACAGUAAAAUAAAAACGUGUGAAAAAUAGCGCCUUUUUGAUUGGUGCCGAUUGCUAACAAAGUGAACAUUUUUAUCGCCCUGUAAAAGAUGUCAGUUAAGGAGUUUUCUUGAGCAAGAAGAAAAAACGUCAAGAGACAUCGAACAAGCUACAACAACAAGCAGUUGCUUGAAUUGGAGAAAGAGUUUCACUUUAAUCGCUAUCUUUGUAGUACAAGAAGAC
Molecule: unclassified non-coding RNA, 1302 nt
Filed under: Exaiptasia diaphana
Lineage: Eukaryota; Metazoa; Cnidaria; Anthozoa; Actiniaria; Aiptasiidae
Description: homeobox protein Hox-C6b, transcript variant X1
Source: RNAcentral